AGGACGAACGCUGGCGGCGUGCCUAACACAUGCAAGUGGAGCGACGAACCAGGCUUCGGCCUGGGGCAGAGCCGCGAACGGGUGAGUAACACGUGGGCAACCUGCCCCUAGCUCUGGGAUAACUCCGGGAAACCGGUGCUAAUACCGGAUACGACCUCAUUAGGCAUCCUUUGAGGUGGAAAGAUUUAUCGGCUAGGGGAUGGGCCCGCGGCCUAUCAGCUUGUUGGUGGGGUAACGCCUACCAAGGCGACGACGGGUA
This 259-nucleotide ribosomal RNA is filed under the name uncultured bacterium. Its description in RNAcentral is "partial small subunit ribosomal RNA". It matches the Rfam family "Bacterial small subunit ribosomal RNA", at positions 26 to 285 of the family's 1533-position model. The record is from RNAcentral.